This is a long non-coding RNA of Haliotis rufescens (red abalone), 230 nucleotides long. RefSeq lists it as uncharacterized. Lineage: Eukaryota; Metazoa; Mollusca; Gastropoda; Lepetellida; Haliotidae. The transcript has 2 exons. The record is from RefSeq and is a predicted model, not a curated record.
UAUGUAUAAUAUACAGUCUGUACUAUACGGGAUCCGGAGAAAUAUUUUAACGUGUAUGUAAAUAGUUGUAUUAGUCAUUGUUAUAAAAGUAUAUGUUUUAUUCAGAUAUCCGGAAUUAUAAGUUGCGGCGGUAGUCGGGAAGACACCCCAGUCUCACCCACAGGGGUGUAUAUCCUAGAUAGAUAUAAAUAUCACAAAUCCAUUGGCCGAAUAAACGUCUCUCACCCGUA